This 1998-nucleotide long non-coding RNA is filed under the name Lathyrus oleraceus (garden pea). RNAcentral's name for it is "Pisum sativum (pea) long non-coding RNA (PSAT_LNC039818)". Lineage: Eukaryota; Viridiplantae; Streptophyta; Magnoliopsida; Fabales; Fabaceae. The record is from RNAcentral.
AAGAGAAGAGCAUUAGCUAUAAGAAAUCCUUAAGAAAAGAGAAGAUGUACAUUUAUAUUCCUCGGAGCUUUGGCAACCACUCUGGUGGUAACAUUGAGAUGUUAUCCAUUCUUCCAUCUUUAUAUGACAUUAAUUUCAGCGUUCAGUUUUUGUAAUGAUAACAAAACAUUCAUAGAUGAAUCAUAGAUAUUACUUUCUUACUUCCUUCCAUCUUUGUGGAUUAUGGACACAAACUAAGAACAACUCCAGGAUAGAUAAAUCAAACGUCUUUAUUUUUUAGUAUUUAUCACAGUAAAAUUUAUAUCUACAUGUAUCAUUUGGGGUUGAUUAAUGAAUUUGUUUGUAUUGCAGUCUGAAUUUGGAUAUAGUGGAGAUGACGGAGGUGCCAAGGAGACGUGAAUCAUCAUGUUUGGCCGGCUGAGCUGUAAUUUGAACAACUUUGUAUCAUUCCUUCUAAUUCUUCUAUGAAAGUUUGUCCUUAGAUUUUCAGACUUUCUCAUUCAUCCUGUGGAUAACGUUUCUUGGUAGAAUUAACCCACGAUCCGGGGAGUACCAUUUUGCUGCAAAGCUCCCCUUAAAGAGAUUUAACACUGCUGCAUGCUUAUGGCCGGGUUCAAACGAGGACUUCUGGUUAAGCUGGAAGAGUCCCUUACCAUAUCAACUAUGGAUAAUUUUUUUUACAUACAUGUAUCUGAGGAACUUGAGGAACCUAAGUUAUAGUCUGACUUAGCAUACAAGAUUAUUUGUAUCACUUUUUUUUGGAUAUGUUUCAUGAUUUUGAUAAUUGAGAGAGACACAUUUAAUUUGUUUUGCAGCAUGUUUCAUAUUGAGUACAAGAUCUUGUAGACGGAAUGGAAGUUUUGCAGACUGUGUUCUUAUGCUUUAAUUUGGUCAGCUGUCUACUAAUGACUUCAUAUUUCAUUCUUUUUUGUUGAUACUCAGCAAAAAAUUGUGAUGUUAAAACUUAUCUAUAUUAGGUUGAAGCUUAAAUUGUGAUGUUUCAUAUUGAGUACAGGAUCUUAUAGACUCGAUGGUAGUUUUGCAGGCUGUGUUCUUAUGCUUUAAUUUGGUCAGCUCUCUACUUAAAAUGACUUCAUAUUUCAGUAUUUUUUGUUGAUACUCAGCAAAUUUGAACAAUUAUGUAUCAUUCCUUCUAAUUCUUCUAUGAAAGUUUGUCCUUAGAUUUUCAGACUUUCUCACUCAUCCCGGGGAUAACUUUUUUAUGUAAAACUAACCCACGAGUCAAGGAGGACCAUUAUGCUGCAAAACUCUCCUUCAAGAGAUUAAACACUGCUGCAUGUCUAGGGCUAGGAGAUUUAAUGCUGCUGCAUGCUUAGGUCCGGGUUUAAACGAGGACUUCUGGUUAUGCUGGUAGAGUCCCUUACCAUAUCAACCAGAGAUAAUCUUUUUUACACACAUGUAUCUGAGGAACUUGAGGAACCUUAGCAUACAAGAUUAUUUAUGAAACUAAAAAUCAAUUCAACCAUAUGGGUAUCCCUCAAAGAGUCUGCAACUGGAGCAAGAACUUGACUUAAAGUGGAGCCUAGUUGAGCAGAAGACGUUGCAAUUGGUUUUUGUCGUUGUGAUUGUACUUUCAUCCGGUGAUCUCUAGAGCCUAGUUGAGCAGAAGACGUUGCAAUUGGUUUUUGUCGUUGUGAUUGUACUUUCAUCCGGUGAUCUCUAAUACGACUAUUGAUUCUUCAUGUUUACUUGUAUAUAUUAAGAUCUUGCUUUCUCGUUUUCUUGGUUUGUUGAUAGGGGUCACAUGGAAUAUGUACAUUGAGAACUGAUUAGGUGAUUGUCAUAGACAUUUUGCUUGAUUCAUUGGAGAAAGGCUCUGUAUUUCGUGGAAUUUUAAUAUUUGCGUUUAACAGGUCAUUUUUUCGUUAAAGGUACACUUGAUUUGAAAUAUAGUUGUCCUAUGCGAGUGUAAUGAUUGAAUGUUGAUUUUUGUGUAUUGCAGAAGCAAUGCCAAUAUUAGGGGUGCUUUAGUAUUUG